This 310-nucleotide ribosomal RNA is filed under the name uncultured Actinomycetes bacterium. RNAcentral's name for it is "bacterial SSU rRNA". It matches the Rfam family "Bacterial small subunit ribosomal RNA", at positions 546 to 847 of the family's 1533-position model. The record is from RNAcentral. Lineage: Bacteria; Bacillati; Actinomycetota; Actinomycetes.
CGGAAUUAUUGGGCGUAAAGAGCUCGUAGGCGGUUUGUCACGUCUGCUCGUGAAAGCCCGCGGGCUCAACUGCCGGAUCUGCGKUGGAGWACUGGGCAGACUAGAGUAGAUGUAGAGGAGACUGGAAUUCCUGGUGUAGCGGUGAAAUGCGCAGAUAUCAGGAGGAACACCGAUGGCGAAGGCAAGUCUCUGGRCUUUAACUGACGCUGAGGAGCGAAAGCAUGGGGAGCGAACAGGAUUAGAUACCCUGGUAGUCCACGCCGUAAACGAUGGGUACUAGCUGUGGGGGACAUUCCACGUUUUCCGCGCC